RNAcentral lists this ribosomal RNA (683 nucleotides) under Brevundimonas sp. B206_2. RNAcentral's name for it is "bacterial SSU rRNA". It matches the Rfam family "Bacterial small subunit ribosomal RNA", at positions 85 to 803 of the family's 1533-position model. Lineage: Bacteria; Pseudomonadati; Pseudomonadota; Alphaproteobacteria; Caulobacterales; Caulobacteraceae. The record is from RNAcentral.
UUCGGGGUUAGUGGCGGACGGGUGAGUAACACGUGGGAACGUGCCUUUUGGUUCGGAAUAGCUCCUGGAAACGGGUGGUAAUGCCGAAUGUGCCCUUCGGGGGAAAGAUUUAUCGCCAUUAGAGCGGCCCGCGUCUGAUUAGCUAGUUGGUGAGGUAAAGGCUUACCAAGGCUACGAUCAGUAGCUGGUCUGAGAGGAUGACCAGCCACAUUGGGACUGAGACACGGCCCAAACUCCUACGGGAGGCAGCAGUGGGGAAUCUUGCGCAAUGGGCGAAAGCCUGACGCAGCCAUGCCGCGUGAAUGAUGAAGGUCUUAGGAUUGUAAAAUUCUUUCACCGGGGACGAUAAUGACGGUACCCGGAGAAGAAGCCCCGGCUAACUUCGUGCCAGCAGCCGCGGUAAUACGAAGGGGGCUAGCGUUGCUCGGAAUUACUGGGCGUAAAGGGAGCGUAGGCGGACAUUUAAGUCAGGGGUGAAAUCCCAGAGCUCAACUCUGGAACUGCCUUUGAUACUGGAUGUCUUGAGUGUGAGAGAGGUAUGUGGAACUCCGAGUGUAGAGGUGAAAUUCGUAGAUAUUCGGAAGAACACCAGUGGCGAAGGCGACAUACUGGCUCAUUACUGACGCUGAGGCUCGAAAGCGUGGGGAGCAAACAGGAUUAGAUACCCUGGUAGUCCACGCCGU